RNAcentral lists this ribosomal RNA (253 nucleotides) under uncultured bacterium. Its description in RNAcentral is "partial 16S ribosomal RNA". It matches the Rfam family "Bacterial small subunit ribosomal RNA", at positions 524 to 776 of the family's 1533-position model. The record is from RNAcentral.
GACGGAGGGGGCUAGCGUUGUUCGGAAUUACUGGGCGUAAAGAGCGCGUAGGCGGUUUGAUAAGUUGGGAGUGAAAGCCCGGGGCUUAACCUCGGAACUGCUCUCAAAACUAUUGAACUAGAGUAUGGUAGGGGGUGAUGGAAUUCCUAGUGUAGAGGUGAAAUUCUUAGAUAUUAGGAGGAACACCGGUGGCGAAGGCGGUCACCUGGGCCAUUACUGACGCUGAGGUGCGAAAGCGUGGGGAGCAAACAGG